Molecule: unclassified non-coding RNA, 253 nt
Filed under: uncultured Bacillaceae bacterium
Lineage: Bacteria; Bacillati; Bacillota; Bacilli; Caryophanales; Bacillaceae
Description: contains 16S-23S intergenic spacer region
Rfam family: Bacterial small subunit ribosomal RNA
Source: RNAcentral
UACGUAGGUGGCAAGCGUUGUCCGGAAUUAUUGGGCGUAAAGCGCGCGCAGGCGGUCUCUUAAGUCUGAUGUGAAAGCCCCCGGCUCAACCGGGGAGGGUCAUUGGAAACUGGGAGACUUGAGUACAGAAGAGGGGAGUGGAAUUCCACGUGUAGCGGUGAAAUGCGUAAAUAUGUGGAGGAACACCAGUGGCGAAGGCGACUCUCUGGUCUGUAACUGACGCUGAGGCGCGAAAGCUGGGGGAGCAAACCGG